GCGGUGCCUGCGAGCGGGCGGCCCGGGCUGUAGUGCCGGCGCCGCAGCGUUUUCCCGGUCUCCCUUCCCGGCCGCGCAGGGUUUUACAGGAUCACAUUAAGACAAACACCAUGGAGUUUUAUGAGUCAACGUAUUUUAUUGUCCUUAUACCUUCAGUAGUCAUUACAGUAAUUUUCCUCUUCUUCUGGCUUUUCAUGAAAGAAACAUUAUAUGAUGAAGUUCUUGCAAAACAGAAAAGAGAACAAAAACUUAUUCCUACCAAAACAGAUAAGAAGAAGGCAGAAAAGAAAAAGAAUAAAAAGAAAGAAAUUCAGAAUGGGAAUCUCCAUGAAUCUGAUUCUGAAAGUGUACUGCGGGACUUCAAAUUAUCUGAUGUUUUGGCUGUAGAAGAUGAGCAAGUUGUACCUGUUCCAUUGAAUGUGGUUGAAACCCCAAGUAGUGUUAGAGAAAGAAAGAAGAAGGAAAAGAAAUACAAGCCUGUACUAGAAGAGCAGGUCACCAAAGAAAGUGAUAUAUCAAAGGUUCCAGGCAAAAAAGUAGAAAAAGUAGAACCUGUCCCAGUUACUACACAGCCAACUCCCCCUUCUGAAGCAACUGCCUCAAAGAAAAAACCAGGGCAGAAGAAGCCUAAAAACGGAAGCGAUGAUCAGGAUAAAAAGGUGGAAAUUCUUACGGUGCCUUCAAAAAAGCAGGAAUCAUUACCUCUCCAUCAAGAGACUAAGCAAGAAAGUGGAUCAGGAAAGAAGAAAGUGUCAUCAAAGAAGCAAAAGACAGAAAAUGUCUUGGUAGAUGAACCCCUUACUCAUGCAACUACUUAUAUUCCUCUGGUGGAUAAUGCAGAUUCAGACCCUGUGGUGGAUAAAAGAGACAUUAUUGAUUUGAUUAAACCUCAGCAAAUAGAAGGAAUCCAGAAAAUGGGGGCUAAAAAACCGAAGAUUGAAACUGACAAAGAAAAUGCUGAAGUGAAAUUUAAAGAUUUUCUUUUGUCCUUGAAAACUAUGAUGUUUUCAGAAGAUGAAGCUCUCUGUAUUGUAGACCUACUAAAAGAGAAGUCUGGUGUAAUACAGGAUGCUUUUAAGAAGUCAAGUAAAGGAGAAUUGACUGCACUUAUACAUCAGCUUCAAGAGAAAGACAAGUUACUUGCUGCAGUGAAGGAAGACGUUGCUGCUACAAAGGAUCGGUGUAAGCAGUUAACCCAGGAAAUGAUGGCUGAGAAAGAAAGAAGCAGUAUGGUUAUAGCAAGGAUGAAAGACCGGAUUGGAACAUUAGAAAAGGAACAUAAUGUGUUUCAAAAUAAAAUGCAUGUCAGUUAUCAAGAGACUCAACAGAUGCAGAUGAAGUUUCAGCAAGUCCGCGAGCAGAUGGAGGCAGAGAUAGCGCAUUUGAAACAGGAAAAUGGCAUUCUGAGGGAUGCUGUCAGCAACACUACAAACCAACUAGAAAGCAAGCAGUCUGCUGAACUAAACAAAUUGCGCCAGGAUUACGCUAGGUUGGUGAAUGAACUGACUGAGAAAACUGGAAAGCUACAGCAAGAGGAAGUCCAAAAGAAGAAUGCUGAGCAAGCAGUUACUCAGUUGAAGGUUCAACUACAAGAAGCUGAGAGAAGGUGGGAAGAAGUUCAGAGCUAUAUCAGGAAGAGAACUGCAGAGCAUGAGGCAGCACAGCAAGAUUUACAGAGUAAAUUUGUGGCCAAAGAAAAUGAAGUGCAAAGUCUGCAUAGUAAGCUUACUGAUACCUUGGUAUCAAAACAACAGUUGGAACAAAGACUAAUGCAGUUAAUGGAAUCAGAGCAAAAAAGGGUGAACAAAGAAGAAUCUCUGCAAAUGCAAGUCCAGGAUAUUUUGGAGCAGAACGAGGCUUUGAAAGCUCAAAUUCAGCAAUUCCAUUCCCAGAUAGCAGUUCAGACUUCCGCUUCAGUUCUAGCAGAAGAAUUACAUAAAGUGAUUGCAGAAAAGGAUAAGCAGAUAAAGCAGACUGAAGAUUCUUUAGCAAAUGAACAUGAUCAUUUAGCAAGUAAAGAGGAGGAACUUAAGGAUAUACAGAAUAUGAAUUUCUUAUUAAAAGCUGAAGUGCAAAAGUUACAGGCCCUUGCAAAUGAGCAGGCUGCUGCUGCACAUGAACUAGAGAAAAUGCAAAAAAGUGUUCAUGUUAAGGAUGAUAAAAUAAGGUUGCUUGAAGAGCAGCUACAGUGUGAAAUUUCAAACAAAAUGGAUGAAUUUAAGAUUUUAAAUGAACAAAACAAAGAAUUGCAAUUAGAAGUUCAGAAGCUACAGAUUCUUGUUUCUGAACAGCCUAAUAAAGAUGUUGUGGAACAAAUGGAAAAAUGCAUUCAAGAAAAAGAUGAGAAGUUGAAGACUGUGGAAGAAUUGCUUGAAACUGGACUUAUUCAGGUGGCCACUAAAGAGGAGGAACUAAAUGCAAUACGAACUGAAAAUUCAUCUCUAACAAAAGAAGUUCAAGACUUAAAGGCUAAGCAAAAUGAUCAGGUUUCUUUUGCAUCUGUAGUUGAAGAACUUAAGAAAGUCAUCCAUGAAAAAGAUGGAAAGAUCAAAACUGUGGAAGAACUGUUAGAAGCUGAACUUCUCAAAGUUGCUAAUAAGGAGAAAACUAUUCAGGAUUUGAAUCAGGAAAUAAAGGCUCUAAAAGAAGAAAUAGGAAAUAUCCAGCUUGAAAAGGCUGAACAGUUAUCUAUUACUUCUCAAGUUCAGGAGCUUCAGAAUUUAUUAAAAGGAAAGGAAGAACAGAUGAAUACCAUGAAGACUGAUUUAGAAGAGAAGGAGAAAGAUCUGGCCAACAGAGGGAAGUGGUUACAGGAUCUUCAAGAAGAAAAUGAAACUUUAAAAGCUCAUGUUCAGGAGGUAGCACAUCAUAACUUGAAAGAGGCCUGUCCUACAUCACGAUUUGAAGAACUUGAGACUGUGUUGAAAGAAAAAGAAAAUGAAAUGAAGAGAAUAGAAACUAUGCUAAAAGAGAGGGAAAAUGAUCUUUCUAGCAAAACAAAGCUGUUACAGGUGGUACAAGAGGAAAACAAAUUGUUUAAAUCCCACAUUGAGCAGCUUAAGCAACAGAACUACCAACAGGCAUCUUUUCCUCCUCAUGAAGAACUACUAAAAGUAAUUUCAGAAAGGGAGAGAGAAAUAUCUGAUCUCCAGAAGGAAUUAAAUUCUUUGAAGGAUGCUAUUGAACACCAGAGGAAGAAAAACAAUGACCUUCGGGAGAAAAACUGGGAAGCAAUGGAAGCAUUGGCAUCAACUGAAAAAAUGCUGCAGGACAAAGUGAACAAGACUUCCAAGGAAAGACAACAACAUGUGGAAGCUGUUGAAUUGGAAGCUAAGGAAGUUCUCAAAAAAUUAUUUCCUAAGGUGUCUGUCCCUUCUAAUUUGAGUUAUAGUGAAUGGUUGCAUGGAUUUGAAAAGAAGGCAAAAGAAUGUGUGGGUGAAACUGCUGGUUCAGAGGAGAUUAAGGUUCUAGAGCACAAGCUGAAAGAAGCUGAUGAAAUGCACUCGUUGUUGCAGCUAGAGUGUGAAAAAUAUAAAUCCGUCCUUGCAGAAACAGAAGGAAUUUUGCAGAAGCUACAGAGAAGUGUGGAGCAAGAAGAGAAUAAAUGGAAAGUUAAGGUUGAUGAAUCACAAAAGACUAUUAAACAGAUGCAGUUGUCAUUCACAUCUUCGGAACAAGAGCUGGAGAGAUUAAGAAAACAGAAUAAAGAUGUUGAAAAACUGAGAAGAGAACGAGAACAUUUGGAAAUGGAACUAGUGAAGGCAGAAAUUGAACGAUCUACCUAUGUUACAGAAGUCAGAGAGUUAAAGACACUGUUGAAUGAAACACUCACAAAACUUAGAAUUGAACAAAGUGAAAGACAGAAGGUAGCUGGUGAUUUGCAUAAGGCUCAGCAGUCACUGGAUCUAAUCCAGUCAAAAAUAGGAAAAGCUGCUGGAGACACUACUGUUAUUGAGAAUAGUGAUGUUUCCCCAGAAAUGGAGUCUUCUGAGAAGGAGACAAUGUCUUUAAGUCUAAAUCAGACUGUAACACAGUUACAACAGCUGCUUCAGGAAGUAAACCAACAGCUUACAAAGGAGAAAGAACACUACUAGGGUUUAGAGUGAUUGCCCUCUGGCCUGCCUUAGCAUAUGCUCUUCUUUAAAAUGAUAUUUCAUGACAGUUAACCUCUAAGAAGAUUUUCCAAGUAAACCCAGCUCAUUCUUUUAACAUGUCAGCAAAAAUAACUAUUCCUUAAUCUUUAUUCUUGAGUGAAGCAGUUGGAAAACUGUUCAUUCAACAGAAGGCAUUGUAUUAUAUUUUGCCAAAUUAAAGCCUUAUUUAUGUUUUCACCCUUUCUACUUUGUCAAAAACACUGAACAAAGUUUUUGUCUUUUCUAAUCCUUGUUAGACUACUGAUUUAAAGAGAGAAAAAAAAAAGCCAACUCUGUAGACAUCAUCAGAGUUUAGUUUUGUAAUAAAACUGUUUGAAUAAUUAGACAUUUACAUUCCUGAAGAUAAAAUAUACAUGUAAUCUUUUAUCUUAUUUUGCUCAAUAAAAUUGUUCAGAAGAUCAAAAGUGGUAAAGACAAUGUAAUAUCUAACAUUUUAUUACUGAUGUUGUACACUGUUUUACUUAACAUUUUGAGGAGUAACUGCCUCUGACUACAACUCAAGAAAACACUUUUUGUUGCUAAUGUAAUCGGUUUUUGUAAUGGCGUCAGCAAAUAAAGGGAUGCUUAUUAUUCAGACUCUA
RNA transcript from Condylura cristata (star-nosed mole), 4735 nucleotides. It is a transcript of the gene named kinectin 1 (kinesin receptor), with no coding region annotated. NCBI's taxonomy places the organism in Eukaryota, Metazoa, Chordata, Mammalia, Eulipotyphla, Talpidae. The transcript is spliced from 44 exons. The record is from RefSeq and is a predicted model, not a curated record.